This 753-nucleotide ribosomal RNA is filed under the name uncultured archaeon. RNAcentral's name for it is "bacterial SSU rRNA". It matches the Rfam family "Archaeal small subunit ribosomal RNA", at positions 83 to 839 of the family's 1478-position model. The record is from RNAcentral.
GACGGCUCAGUAACGCGUAGUCAACCUAACCUAUGGACGGGGAUAACCUCGGGAAACUGAGAAUAAUACCCGAUAGAACAUUAUGCCUGGAAUGGUUUAUGUUUAAAAUAAUUUAUUGCCGUAGGAUGGGACUGCGGCCUAUCAGUUUGUUGGUGAGGUAUGGCCCACCAAGACUAUUACAGGUACGGGCUCUGAGAGGAGUAGCCCGGAGAUGGGUACUGAGACACGGACCCAGGCCCUAUGGGGCGCAGCAGGCGAGAAAACUUUGCAAUGUGCGAAAGCACGACAAGGUUAAUCCGAGUGGUUUCUGCUAAAGGAACCUUUUGCCAGUCCUAGAAACACUGGUGAAUAAGGGGUGGGCAAGUUCUGGUGUCAGCCGCCGCGGUAAAACCAGCACCUCAAGUGGUCAGGAUGAUUAUUGGGCCUAAAGCAUCCGUAGCCUGCUUUGUCAGUUUUCGGUUAAAUCCAUUCGCUCAACGAAUGGGCUGCCGGGAAUACUGCAAAGCUAGGGAGUGGGAGAGGUAGACGGUACUCGGUAGGAAGGGGUAAAAUCCUUUGAUCUAUUGAUGACCACCUGUGGCGAAGGCGGUCUACCAGAACACGUCCGACGGUGAGGGAUGAAAGCUGGGGGAGCAAACCGGAUUAGAUACCCGGGUAGUCCCAGCUGUAAACUAUGCAAACUCAGUGAUGCAUUGGCUUGAUGCCAAUGCAGUGCUGCAGGGAAGCCGUUAAGUUUGCCGCCUGGGAAGUACG